CAACCUCAACUCAUAUGGGACUACCCCCUGAAUUUAAGCAUAUUAAUUAGGGGAGGAAAAGAAACUAACAAGGAUUUUCUUAGUAGCGGCGAGCGAAAGAAAAUCAGUUCAGCACUAAGUCACUUUGUCUAUAUGGCAAAUGUGAGAUGCAGUGUAUGGAGCGUCAAUAUUCUAGUAUGAGAAAUUAACGAUUUAAGUCCUUCUUAAAUGAGGCCAUUUACCCAUAGAGGGUGCCAGGCCCGUAUAACGUUAAUGAUUACUAGAUGAUGUUUCCAAAGAGUCGUGUUGCUUGAUAGUGCAGCACUAAGUGGGUGGUAAACUCCAUCUAAAACUAAAUAUAACCAUGAGACCGAUAGUAAACAAGUACCGUGAGGGAAAGUUGAAAAGAACUCUGAAUAGAGAGUUAAAUAGUACGUGAAACUGCUUAGAGGUUAAGCCCGAUGAACCUGAAUAUCCGUUAUGGAAAAUUCAUCAUUAAAGUUAUAAUAUUUAAACAAUAUUAUACAAAUAAUGUGCAUUUUUUCCAUAUAAGGACAUUGUAAUCUAUUAACAUAUUAAAUUUAUCAUAAAAUAUGGCUUAUAGUUUAUUCAAAUUAUUAUGCUUGCAUUUUAACAUAGAAUAAAUGUCAUUAAUUUGAUAAAGUGUUGAUAGACUAAUAAGAAUACAGUGCGUUAAUUUUUCGGAAUUAUAUAAUGGCAUAAUUAUCAUUGAUUUUUGUGUUUAUUAUAAGCACUUGUAUGAUUAACAAUGCGA
RNAcentral lists this non-coding RNA (754 nucleotides) under Drosophila ananassae. RNAcentral describes it as "Eukaryotic large subunit ribosomal RNA". It matches the Rfam family "Eukaryotic large subunit ribosomal RNA", at positions 1 to 628 of the family's 3401-position model. The record is from Rfam by way of RNAcentral. Lineage: Eukaryota; Metazoa; Arthropoda; Insecta; Diptera; Drosophilidae.